UUCCACAGCUACUGGACUGGAACUGUUCUGUACUGUAGCGGUUGCAGUAUUUCAACUGUGGGAAAUGAUCAGUUACACUGUGUAGUGCUCCUUUCUCAAUCAAGGGAAGAGAAUUUCAGUGUAACAGACAGGA
This is a small nucleolar RNA of Varanus komodoensis (Komodo dragon), 133 nucleotides long. NCBI's taxonomy places the organism in Eukaryota, Metazoa, Chordata, Lepidosauria, Squamata, Varanidae. The record is from Ensembl.